Molecule: transfer RNA, 90 nt
Rfam family: tRNA
About the family: Transfer RNA (tRNA) molecules are approximately 80 nucleotides in length.
Source: Rfam
GCCCCUAUGGCGUAGUGGUAGCGCGUCGCACUUGUAUCAGCAUUGCUUGAGUACAUGCGAAGGUCAUUCGUUCAAUCCGGGUUGGGGGCA